Molecule: transfer RNA, 87 nt
Filed under: Flavobacteriales bacterium
Lineage: Bacteria; Pseudomonadati; Bacteroidota; Flavobacteriia; Flavobacteriales
Description: tRNA-Ser
Rfam family: tRNA
About the family: Transfer RNA (tRNA) molecules are approximately 80 nucleotides in length. Their secondary structure includes four short double-helical elements and three loops (D, anti-codon, and T loops).
Source: RNAcentral
AGAGAGGUGGCCGAGUGGUUUAAGGCGCACGCUUGGAAAGCGUGUUAGCGCGAAAGUGUUACGAGGGUUCGAAUCCCUUCCUCUCUA